This 3172-nucleotide long non-coding RNA is filed under the name Equus asinus (donkey). RNAcentral's name for it is "lncRNA (ENSEASG00005035107.1)". The record is from RNAcentral. Lineage: Eukaryota; Metazoa; Chordata; Mammalia; Perissodactyla; Equidae.
CUCCUGCCCUGAGCUCACAGUCAUAAUUCCAACAGCCCACAGGUUGACCAUCACUCUGCGCCAGGCUCUGGACUGAGCACUUUGGCAUCAUCUCAUUUAAUCCUCCCUUGACCCUCGAUGUAUACACUAUUAAUACCUCCAUUUUAUGGCUGAAGGAACAGAUGCUUCAAGGGCUGGAAUAACUUACCCAAGAUCACAGAGAAAGUAAAUUCAAAGCCAAGAUUUGCCCUUAAUCAUCUUACUCUAUUCUACUGGAAAGAGCUGAUUUUUGCCUCUCACUAAAACAUUCCCAUUAAUAUCCUUGCUAUAUUUAACUGUAAUUACCUUAUAUAGUCUCUUCUCUUAAGCCAUACCCUUUCUUAAGAGCUAUAUUCCAAAAUUAUUUGGGUAUUCAGCACAAACCAGUAGUCACGGAUUAUAUUAGGAUUCAAAUGUCAAAUUACUGACUCCCAACAAAUUUGUUCUGUGGUGAGGUAUCUAAUGAAAGCUCUUUUGUUUAAUAGGAAUGAUAAUAAUAGCUAGUCAUUACUGAGUAUCAUGUGCUAGGUAUUGUUCUGAGAGUUUUAAGUUUAUUAAUUGAAAUUGAUUUAAUCUUCAUAACAACCUUAUGAGGUUGUUAACCAAUAUAUCCAAUUUACGGAUGAGAAAACUGAAAAUGUGCCUUUUGAAGACCUCGGAAAAUACGUGGUCCCUGAAAAGAUAUGGAAAGAAAACUGCAAAAUGAAAACAAAUGUGUAAUUAAAUGUCUACAAUAUAUAGCAUUACAUAGGUUUUAUUAAUUAUUGAAUCUAAUAUACUUAAAAUCUUUAUUAUAUCUGAAAACAACUUGUAGGAUAGAUUUUUCUCACUUGCAGGAGUUGCUGAGUUUUUCCCUGUGCGUGCUGAGACAUCACUGCCAACCUUUAAAUUAAAGGAGUUAGUCAUAGCCAAAUAACUCAAACAAAAAAUUAUAAAAAUCUCUCAAAAUUCUCAGGGAAAAAAAAUAGAGAGGGAAAAUGAGAGAGAGAUAUUGAGGGAUUUCCCAGAGAAAAGGUAAGGCCUAUGAAGGGGCUAAAACUGCCGUAAUUUGUGCGUGUGAUGACUUAAGGAGCCUGGGAAGAGCUAAGGACUUUACAUCCACCUUGUUCAAGUUCACUCUAAGUUUAAGAUGCACCAAAGAACCAUGAAAUAGGAUUUGAAAGCUGAUGAUCCUGCUCUGCUUCCUGCUGGCUGUGUGACCCCGGGCAAAGCCCUUAUUGGCCCUGUUCCUCAUCAUCAAACAGGGUGGUUUUAAACAUUAAACAAGACGUGUAUUGGAAAGUGCUUUGCCAACUGUACAUUUCUAUAGAUGUUAAAGUAUAGCCAUUAAUUCCAGCUAUACAGUUUUCCCCUUAUUGAGGGAAGGACAAUUAAAAUUCUAAGAUGUUUUUAAAACAAAUUUUGGUUUUUUACCAUUAAGUAAACGCAAUAAUCCAACAAAAUGCUGUCAAAUAGAUAUCUGCCCUUCGAGGUCUUUCUAUAAAUGGCCAGGAAUAAUUAGCCCAUUGACUUUCCACAGAUGAGCAUUUCUUAGAUGCCAGAGAAGUUUAUUUAUACAAGUAGUUUCAACAUACUCUCUGAAAUCUUGUUUUUCACCUGCCAGAUCUCAUCAAGAUGUCUUGGACACUGUGGCAGCUGCCAGCCUCAGGGUAAGGUGCAGCCAAAGACCCAAAAGGCAAAUGUCCACUCUGUUUUCUUGAAGCCCAAGUUCAGGAGCUGCCUGUUGGCCUGCCCUGGACUGGGUGAGAGCAUCAGAGACUCUCAUCUUCACUCAAGGCCUGGGCCUGAGCAGAAGACAACUGGCCUUUUCUAGGGUCUAGUGAGGAGAUGGCUCCAUCUGCCAGCCAGAGACUUUUCCCUCAUUUCCUUCAGCUUCAAAAUUUUAAGGGGACCAAAGCAAGGGGUGCCUGCAGACCCAUCCUAAGACGGAAGUCACAAGAGACAAAAUAAGGAGAAGCUGAGAGAGAAGAAUGAUGGAAUCCAACAACUCUCCAUCUAUGUGCCAAUUAAUUAAUUAAUUUCAACAAUUCUCGGCUGGUUAAGUGGAGCCUCCAAUACUCAGUGCAGCCAAACCUCCACUCUCCCUUCUCUUAAGCUGCCACCCCAACACCUGUUUCUAUCCACUCGGAUGCACUGUGUGUAGCAUUUAUGUUUUCUAUCUGGGAAUGACUGGGGUGGGGGUUAUGAAGGGGAGGAGGAUUAAAAACAGAAAAGAAGAGGAUGGAGCAAAGGGUAAGGUAUCUAUUCUGUCUCUGCCUCUCACUCCUCCCCUUCGUGAUAUGAGGGAGAAAAGGCCAGACACUGGUGGAAGAGUUCAAGAUCUGUUGCAACUCCAGACCAGCAUAGCUGCUUCCUCUCCCAGGGUAUAAAAUGCAGAGCAGUGAGGGCCAUUCUCUCAGCCCUUUAAAAAGGCAGGAACACCUGAAUCCCAGAAGCAGUGGAAACAUGUGGGAAUUGGAAAGAACAAAUCCAAAUGGAGGGUGCACUGACCAUCGCUGCCAGUCUAGUCUGAAGCCAUGCUAAAGCACCCCAAAGGGCAGCACCCCAUAAAAAACACAAGUGACCUCAAGAGGCCACCAGAGUCAGGCAGGUGGGGGGCUGCAGCUGCUACUAUAACUCACAUCCUAAUGACAAAUGUAGUCUGGGACAUCUUGGUUGCAUUGAUGACAUUACUCCUUUCACUGAUCAAUGUCUGUGUCUUACAGUCUUGACCCCUCCUCUCAUGGAAUUGGAGGGAGGAAGCCUUCUGCUCCCACUGGAGAUUCACUUGUGGGCUCCACAAACGCCCUUCUCAUCCGUGAUGUAAAAGUCAAUUCAGGGGCCGGCCCCAUGGCCGAGUAGUUAAGUUUGCUUGCUCCACUUCAGCAGCCAGGGGUUUCAGUGGUUCAGACCCUGGGCGCAGACAUGGCACCGUUCAUCAGGCCAUGCUGAGGCGGCGUCCCACAUGCCACAACUAGAAGGACCCACAACUAAAAUACACAACUAUGCACUAAGGGGCUUUGGGGAGAAAAAGCAGGAAAAAAAAAACAAAAAGAAGAUUGGCAAUAGCUGUUAGCUCAGGUGCCAAUCUUAAAAAAAAAGUCAAUUCAACCAGGUUCUUGGCUCUUCAUCAGAAAUUCAGAACAAGGGAACAAGUUGAUAAAGUCUUCUAUCU